Long non-coding RNA from Mauremys reevesii (Reeves's turtle), 393 nucleotides. RefSeq lists it as uncharacterized. Lineage: Eukaryota; Metazoa; Chordata; Testudines; Geoemydidae. The transcript is spliced from 3 exons. The record is from RefSeq and is a predicted model, not a curated record.
GCAGUGGGAGAGCUCUGUGGGUGGAGCUUCCUGAACUGGUCUGACCUGCAAUCAGCUCAUUUCCUUGGCAGCUUGAUCAUCUAGUUGAAUGCACAUCACACCAAGGCUGUAACCAUCCCACAUGAAGAAAAGAAAGCCUAUUAUUGAAGGGUGAGAACUACAUAAAGAUGAGCUAAAAGGAACAGGAACCUGUCACAUCGCUGAGUUGUCGCCCCCCCCCCCCCCCUUGGGGUUAGCAAGCAGCACAAGAUAGUUCUGACUUCACUGUAAAACCAGGAUUCUUUAAUCUUACCACUGCACAACUACAUAUCAGCUGCUUAGCAGGCUCGAAUUUUGAGCUAGUGAGAGAUUCCCCUUCAAUCUUCAGGACCACGUGCUCUGCUUUGUACCUCA